Molecule: non-coding RNA, 257 nt
Organism: Plectropomus leopardus (leopard coralgrouper)
Lineage: Eukaryota; Metazoa; Chordata; Actinopteri; Perciformes; Serranidae
Source: RefSeq, a predicted model, not a curated record
AGUUUAACCAGUCUUCCCGGUACACAUUCUCACGUGAUCUCAUGAUAUCACAUGAAUCCAGCUGCCAUGCAAGGAGUUUCCUCCAGUUUAACCAGUCUCCCCUGUGCACAGUCUCCCUACUAACAGGGUUUUGACAGCUGCCUUGCAGACUUCCAGAGGUUUUAGACUGGAGCUAGUGGUUGAGUGGCAAACAGAAGAAAAGACUAUGCUCCAGAGAUAGUGGUGCUGUUCCCCUCCCUUAAGGAUCCAUAUACCAA